RNAcentral lists this ribosomal RNA (618 nucleotides) under Triticum aestivum (bread wheat). RNAcentral's name for it is "partial small subunit ribosomal RNA". Lineage: Eukaryota; Viridiplantae; Streptophyta; Magnoliopsida; Poales; Poaceae. The record is from RNAcentral.
AUGAAUCCUAAUGUGCGCGUUACUCAUCCAUGUGCAGAGGGGAAUAGCAGGUUAUACGUCUCGGUGAGAGACUACUACUGUUACAUGCUCCAGACACGACCUGGGAUAUUCAAUCCCAUACUCUGUGGAGCACGAUUGCUCCAACAAUGGGGGGUGGACAUGUACAUCAAGAUUGAGAGUUGUAGGUUGAAAUGGUACAGGAAGAAUCAGACAAAGAUCUGUGCCGACCUGUAUAAAGGAGUUGUUGAUGCAAUUACAUCCGGGGAGACUCGCGCAAGCGCUAUUGGGGUAAGGAUAGUGCUCCCUGGAACAUACCCAGGUGGCGACCGCGACAUGAAGCGGAGGCAUAUGGAUGCCUUGGCAAUUGUCCAUACCUACGGGAAGCCUGACAUCUUCCUGACCAUGACCUGCAACCCUAACUGGGAAGAGAUAACGAAUGAGUUGUUUCCUGGUCAGACAGCGCAAGACCGGCCUGAUCUUGUUGCUCGUGUGUUCCAUGGCAAGCUAGAGGCUAUGAAAGAGAUGUUGUUCAAGAAGAAUAUCCUGGGUGUGGUUGUCGCACAUGUAUACGUAGUCGAGUUCCAGAAGAGGGGCCUCCCCACGCACACUUUUUGUUGA